CCUACGGGCGGCUGCAGUCGAGAAUCAUUCACAAUGGGGGAAACCCUGAUGGUGCGACGCCGCGUGGGGGAAUGAAGGUCUUCGGAUUGUAAACCCCUGUCAUGUGGGAGCAAAUUAAAAAGAUAGUACCACAAGAGGAAGAGACGGCUAACUCUGUGCCAGAAGCCGCGGUAAUACAGAGGUCUCAAGCGUUGUUCGGAAUCACUGGGCGUAAAGGGUGAGUAGGCUGUUUCGUAAGUCGUGUGUGAAAGGCGCGGGCUCAACCCGCGGACGGCACAGGAUACGGCGAGACUAGAGUAAUGGAGGGGGAACCGGAAUUCUCGGUGUAGCAGUGAAAUGCGUAGAUAUCGAGAGGAACACUCGUGGCGAAGGCGGGUUCCUGGACAUUAACUGACGCUGAGGCACGAAGGCCAGGGGAGCGAAAGGGAUUAGAUACCCGUGUAGUC
RNAcentral lists this ribosomal RNA (446 nucleotides) under uncultured bacterium. Its description in RNAcentral is "partial 16S ribosomal RNA". It matches the Rfam family "Bacterial small subunit ribosomal RNA", at positions 338 to 795 of the family's 1533-position model. The record is from RNAcentral.